CUCCUUUGACGUUAGCGGCGGACGGGUGAGUAACACGUGGGUAACCUACCUAUAAGACUGGGAUAACUUCGGGAAACCGGAGCUAAUACCGGAUAAUAUUUCGAACCGCAUGGUUCGAUAGUGAAAGGUGGUUUUGCUAUCACUUAUAGAUGGACCCGCGCCGUAUUAGCUAGUUGGUAAGGUAACGGCUUACCAAGGCUACGAUACGUAGCCGACCUGAGAGGGUGAUCGGCCACACUGGAACUGAGACACGGUCCAGACUCCUACGGGAGGCAGCAGGC
RNAcentral lists this ribosomal RNA (281 nucleotides) under uncultured Staphylococcus sp. Its description in RNAcentral is "partial 16S ribosomal RNA". It matches the Rfam family "Bacterial small subunit ribosomal RNA", at positions 81 to 354 of the family's 1533-position model. The record is from RNAcentral. Lineage: Bacteria; Bacillati; Bacillota; Bacilli; Caryophanales; Staphylococcaceae.